AGGUGGGAUGGGAAAAGGAUCGUUCGUCACUGGGUGCUUCUUUACUCCCCUGCUCCAAUCCGUGCCGGCUGGAAAUGCUGUGAGAGAAGCCUGGGUUAGUCCGUUUAGACAUAGAGACUGUGCAGCAGCAGUCAGAUCGAGUUACAAAAAAUGCCGGCCAGGCCCACGCUGCAGUAAAUGACGAGAGGCCCAGGAGAGAAUGCGAGCCAAGCGAAUUGCAAAGUAAUAAAGAGAGCCAUUCUUUGUCUGAUGAUUGGACCUAAACCCAGCUAACGUCUUGUCAAGGAAAAGCCAUGACACCCUAUCAAAGGCUUUCUCUGCGUCUGUGGGACAAAUCCCACUUGGUCUUGAAUCAGAAAGGGCAA
Molecule: long non-coding RNA, 365 nt
Organism: Xenopus laevis (African clawed frog)
Lineage: Eukaryota; Metazoa; Chordata; Amphibia; Anura; Pipidae
Exons: 4
Source: RefSeq, a predicted model, not a curated record